RNAcentral lists this ribosomal RNA (432 nucleotides) under Chromodoris orientalis. Its description in RNAcentral is "partial 16S ribosomal RNA". It matches the Rfam family "Bacterial large subunit ribosomal RNA", at positions 1817 to 2596 of the family's 2925-position model. Lineage: Eukaryota; Metazoa; Mollusca; Gastropoda; Nudibranchia; Chromodorididae. The record is from RNAcentral.
AGCCUUUGGGAAAGAUCAAAGGUUAUACCUGCCCAAUGUUAUAUUAAUGGCCGCGGUACUUUGACCGUGCUAAGGUAGCACAAUCAAUUGGCCCUUAAUUAGGGUCAGGUAUGAAUGGAGUUACGGGGCUUAGCUGUCUCUAAACUAUUUAAUUGAAGUUGCUGAAUAGGUGAAAAAGCCUAUAUAAAGAAAAAAGACGAGAAGACCCUUAGAGUUUUACUUAAAAAAGAAUAAUUUCUUAACUAGUUUUGUUGGGGCAACAUAGGAAAAACAGAACUUCCUAAAGUAUACAAACCGAUAUUUUUAAAUGUGGAUAAACUACCUUAGGGAUAACAGCAUAAUUUUAAAAAUAAGUUUGUGACCUCGAUGUUGGACUAGGGAACUUAAGGGCUAGCCGCCUUUUAGUAAGGUUCUGUUCGAACUCUAAUUCCU